UUGAACGCUGGCGGCAUGCUUUACACAUGCAAGUCGAACGGUAACAGGGAGCUUGCUCCGCUGACGAGUGGCGAACGGGUGAGUAAUGCAUCGGAACGUACCCAGUCGUGGGGGAUAACGUAGCGAAAGUUACGCUAAUACCGCAUACGUCCUGAGGGAGAAAGCGGGGGACCGUAAGGCCUCGCGCGAUUGGAGCGGCCGAUGUCGGAUUAGCUAGUUGGUGGGGUAAAGGCCUACCAAGGCGACGAUCCGUAGCUGGUCUGAGAGGACGACCAGCCACACUGGAACUGAGACACGGUCCAGACUCCUACGGGAGGCAGCAGUGGGGAAUUUUGGACAAUGGGGGCAACCCUGAUCCAGCCAUUCCGCGUGAGUGAAGAAGGCCUUCGGGUUGUAAAGCUCGUUCAGCAGGAACGAAACGGUGGCCAUUAAUACUGGCUACUAAUGACGGUACCUGAAGAAGAAGCACCGGCUAACUACGU
Molecule: ribosomal RNA, 482 nt
Filed under: uncultured bacterium
Lineage: Bacteria
Description: bacterial SSU rRNA
Rfam family: Bacterial small subunit ribosomal RNA
Source: RNAcentral